Molecule: ribosomal RNA, 255 nt
Filed under: uncultured bacterium
Lineage: Bacteria
Description: partial 16S ribosomal RNA
Rfam family: Bacterial small subunit ribosomal RNA
Source: RNAcentral
UACGUAGGGUGCAAGCGUUAUCCGGAAUUAUUGGGCGUAAAGAGCUCGUAGGCGGUUUUGUCGCGUCUGCUGUGAAAACUGGGGGCUCAACCCCCAGCCUGCAGUGGGUACGGGCAGACUAGAGUGCGGUAGGGGAGAUUGGAAUUCCUGGUGUAGCGGUGGAAUGCGCAGAUAUCAGGAGGAACACCGAUGGCGAAGGCGACUCUUUGGCCUGUAACUGACACUGAGGAGCGAAGGACAUGGGGAGCGAACAGG